AACGAACGCUGGCGGCAUGCCUAACACAUGCAAGUCGAACGAGACCUUCGGGUCUAGUGGCGCACGGGUGCGUAGCGCGUGGGAACCUGCCCUUAGGUUCGGAAUAACUCCCCGAAAGGGGUGCUAAUACCGGAUAAUGUCUUCGGACCAAAGAUUUAUCGCCUUUGGAUGGGCCCGCGCUGGAUUAGCUAGUUGGUAGGGUAAAAGCCUACCAAGGCGACGAUCCAUAGCUGGUCUGAGAGGAUGAUCAGCCACACUGGGACUGAGACACGGCCCAGACUCCUACGGGAGGCAGCAGUGGGGAAUAUUGGACAAUGGGCGAAAGCCUGAUCCAGCAAUGCCGCGUGAGUGAUGAAGGCCUUAGGGUUGUAAAGCUCUUUUACCCGGGAUGAUAAUGACAGUACCGGGAGAAUAAGCUCCGGCUAACUCCGUG
This 433-nucleotide ribosomal RNA is filed under the name uncultured bacterium. RNAcentral's name for it is "partial 16S ribosomal RNA". It matches the Rfam family "Bacterial small subunit ribosomal RNA", at positions 29 to 507 of the family's 1533-position model. The record is from RNAcentral.